RNAcentral lists this ribosomal RNA (443 nucleotides) under uncultured bacterium. RNAcentral's name for it is "partial 16S ribosomal RNA". It matches the Rfam family "Bacterial small subunit ribosomal RNA", at positions 338 to 795 of the family's 1533-position model. The record is from RNAcentral.
CCUACGGGAGGCAGCAGUGGGGAAUAUUGCACAAUGGGGGGAACCCUGAUGCAGCAACGCCGCGUGAAGGAUGAAGGUUUUCGGUUUGUAAACUUCUUUUGUACGGGACGAAAAAAGUGACGGUACCUUAAGAAUAAGCCACGGCUAACUACGUGCCAGCAGCCGCGGUAAUACGUAGGUGGCAAGCGUUAUCCGGAUUUACUGGGUGUAAAGGGGGAGUAGGCGGGAAUGCAAGUCUGAUGUGAAAACUAUGGGCUCAACCGCUAGAGUGCAUUUGAAACUGCAGUGCUGGAGUGAUGGAGAGGCAGGCGGAAUUCCCGGUGUAGCGGUGGAAUGCGUAGAUAUCGGGAGGAACACCAGUGGCGAAGGCGGCCUGCUGGACAGUAACUGACGCUGAGGCGCGAAAGCGUGGGGAGCAAACAGGAUUAGAUACCCUAGUAGUC